CCAGACAGCCAGGAUGUUGGCUUAGAAGCAGCCAUCAUUUAAAGAAAGCGUAAUAGCUCACUGGUCGAGUCGGCCUGCGCGGAAGAUGUAACGGGGCUAAACCAUGCACCGAAGCUGCGGCAGCGACACUAUGUGUUGUUGGGUAGGGGAGCGUUCUGUAAGCCUGUGAAGGUGUGCUGUGAGGCAUGCUGGAGGUAUCAGAAGUGCGAAUGCUGACAUAAGUAACGAUAAAGCGGGUGAAAAGCCCGCUCGCCGGAAGACCAAGGGUUCCUGUCCAACGUUAAUCGGGGCAGGGUGAGUCGACCCCUAAGGCGAGGCCGAAAGGCGUAGUCGAUGGGAAACAGGUUAAUAUUCCUGUACUUGGUGUUACUGCGAAGGGGGGACGGAGAAGGCUAUGUUGGCCGGGCGACGGUUGUCCCGGUUUAAGCGUGUAGGCUGGUUUUCCAGGCAAAUCCGGAAAACUAAGGCUGAGGCGUGAUGACGAGGCACUACGGUGCUGAAGCAACAAAUGCCCUGCUUCCAGGAAAAGCCUCUAAGCAUCAGGUAACAUCAAAUCGUACCCCAAACCGACACAGGUGGUCAGGUAGAGAAUACCAAGGCGCUUGAGAGAACUCGGGUGAAGGAACUAGGCAAAAUGGUGCCGUAACUUCGGGAGAAGGCACGCUGAUAUGUAG
Molecule: ribosomal RNA, 674 nt
Filed under: Escherichia coli
Lineage: Bacteria; Pseudomonadati; Pseudomonadota; Gammaproteobacteria; Enterobacterales; Enterobacteriaceae
Description: partial 23S ribosomal RNA
Rfam family: Bacterial large subunit ribosomal RNA
Source: RNAcentral